Molecule: microRNA precursor, 60 nt
Filed under: Tribolium castaneum (red flour beetle)
Lineage: Eukaryota; Metazoa; Arthropoda; Insecta; Coleoptera; Tenebrionidae
Description: Tca-Mir-316_pre stem-loop
Source: RNAcentral
UGUCUUUUUCCGCUUUGCUGCCGCUGUUCUGUCGUCGCCAGCAGAGAGGAUGAGGCUAGU